RNAcentral lists this long non-coding RNA (268 nucleotides) under Nicotiana benthamiana. Its description in RNAcentral is "long non-coding RNA (NBEN_LNC003049)". The record is from RNAcentral. Lineage: Eukaryota; Viridiplantae; Streptophyta; Magnoliopsida; Solanales; Solanaceae.
UGCUUGAUUUUGAUUUGGUUACAUAAUAGCGUCUCUUAUGUUCUUGGUUGAUUUUCAUCUGUGCCAUUAAUUUGACCUUAGUUUAAAAUGUAGUCGUAGAAUAUCAUGUAUAGAUUAGGAGUUAGUUUAAUGAUCAUGUGCUCUUCUUGUAGUUGUUGAGGAUUGGUUAUAGCUGGAAGUACACAACUUCCUUGUGCUUGGUUAACCAUGGUCAAUCGACCAAGAUUAGGAAGGUUAGGUUGGUUAAAAUAGAGAUGGUAACUUCAGC